GUCCUUCCCCAUUAUUACAUUAGCUGUGUCCUUCCCCAUUAUUACAUUAGCUGUGUCCUUCCCCAUUAUUACAUUAGCUGUGUCCUUCCCCAUUAUUACAUUAGAUGUGUCCUUCCCCAUUAUUACAUUAGCUGUGUCCUUCUCCAUUAUUACAUUAGCUGUGUCCUUCCCAUUAUUACAUUAGCUGUGUCCUUCCUCAUUAUUACAUUAUCUGUGUCCUUCCCCAUUAUUACAUUAGCUGUGUCCUUCCCCAUUAUUACAUUAGCUGUGUCCUUCCCCAUUAUUACAUUAGCUGUGUCUUGCUCCAUUAUUACAUUAGCUGUGUCCUUCCCCAUUAUUACAUUAGCUGUGUCCUUCUCCAUUAUUACAUUAGCUGUGUCCUUCCCCAUUAUUACAUUAGCUUUGUCCUUCCCCAUUAUUACAUUAUCUGUGUCCUUCCCCAUUAUUACAUUAUCUGUGUCCUUCCCAUUAUUACAUUAGCUGUGUCCUUCUCCAUUAUUACAUUAGCUGUGUCCUUCCCCAUUAUUACAUUAGCUGUCUCCUUCCCCAUUAUUACAUUAGCUGUGUCCUUCCCAAUAUUACAUUAGCUGUGUCCUUCCCCAUUAUUACAUUAUCUGUGUCCUUCCCAUUAUUACAUUAGCUGUGUCCUUCCCAAUAUUACAUUAGCUGUGUCCUUCCCCAUUAUUACAUUAGCCGUGUCCUUCCCCAUUAUUACAUUAGCUGUGUCCUUCUCCAUUAUUACAUUAGCUGUGUCCUUCCCCAUUAUUACAUUAGCUGUGUCCUUCUCCAUUAUUACAUUAGCUGUGUCCUUCCCAUUAUUACAUUAGCUGUGUCGUUCCCCAUUAUUACAUUAGCUGUGUCCUUCCCCAUUAUUACAUUAGCUGUGUCCUUCUCCAUUAUUACAUUAGCUGUGUCCUUCCCCAUUAUUACAUUAGCUGUGUCCUUCCCCAUUAUUACAUUAGCUGUGUCCUUCCCCAUUAUUACAUUAGCUGUGUCCUUCCCAUUAUUACAUUAGCUGUGUCCUUCCCCAUUAUUACAUUAGCUGUGUCCUUCCCCAUUAUUACAUUAGCUGUGUCCUUCCCAAUAUUACAUUAGCUGUGUCCUUCCCCAUUAUUACAUUAGCUGUGUCCUUCCCAAUAUUACAUUAGCUGUGUCCUUCCCCAUUAUUACAUUAGCUGUGUCCUUCCCCAUUAUUACAUUAGCUGUGUCCUUCCCCAUUAUUACAUUAGCUGUGUCCUU
This 1239-nucleotide long non-coding RNA is filed under the name Salmo salar (Atlantic salmon). RNAcentral's name for it is "lncRNA (ENSSSAG00000082770.1)". The record is from RNAcentral. Lineage: Eukaryota; Metazoa; Chordata; Actinopteri; Salmoniformes; Salmonidae.